UGCACUGUUGAGAGUGGAGCC
This 21-nucleotide unclassified non-coding RNA is filed under the name Mus musculus (house mouse). RNAcentral describes it as "oocyte_clustered_small_RNA7240". The record is from RNAcentral. Lineage: Eukaryota; Metazoa; Chordata; Mammalia; Rodentia; Muridae.